AUAUCAAUAAGCGGAGGAAAAGAAACUAACAAGGAUUCCCCUAGUAACUGCGAGUGAAGCGGGAAAAGCUCAAAUUUAAAAUCUGGCGGUCUUCGAUCGUCCGAGUUGUAGUCUGGAGAAGCGUCUUCCGCGCUGGACCGUGUACAAGUCUCUUGGAACAGAGCGUCGUAGAGGGUGAGAAUCCCGUCUUUGACACGGACUGCCAGUGCUUUGUGAUGCGCUCUCAAAGAGUCGAGUUGUUUGGGAAUGCAGCUCAAAAUGGGUGGUAAAUUCCAUCUAAAGCUAAAUAUUGGCGAGAGACCGAUAGCGAACAAGUACCGUGAGGGAAAGAUGAAAAGCACUUUGGAAAGAGAGUUAAACAGUACGUGAAAUUGCUGAAAGGGAAACGAUUGAAGUCAGUCGCGUCGUCUAGAACUCAACCUGGCCUCGGCUCGGUGCAUUUUCUAGUUGACGGGCCAGCAUCAGUUUUGACCGUUGGAAAAAGGUCCUUGGAAUGUGGCACCUUCGGGUGUGUUAUAGCCUUGGGUCGUAUACGACGGUUGGGACUGAGGACCGCAGCACGCCUUUAUGGCCGGGGUUCGCCCACGUACGUGCUUAGGAUGCUGGCGUAAUGGCUUUAAACGACCCGUCUUGAAACACGGACCAAGGAGUCUAACAUGCCUGCGAGUGUUUGGGUGGUAAACCCGAGCGCGUAACGAAAGUGAAAGUUGGGAUCCCUGUCGUGGGGAGCACCGACGCCCACACCAGACCUUCUGUGACGGAUGUGCGGUUGAGCAUGUAUGUUGGGACCCAAAGAUGGUGAACUAUGCCUGAAUAGGGUGAAGCCAGAGGAAACUCUGGUGGAGGCUCGUAGCGAUUCUGACGUGUCAAAUCGAUCGUCAAAUUUGGGUAUAGGGGCGAAAGACUAAUCGAACCAUCUAGUAGCUGG
Molecule: ribosomal RNA, 928 nt
Filed under: Phlebia rufa
Lineage: Eukaryota; Fungi; Basidiomycota; Agaricomycetes; Polyporales; Meruliaceae
Description: LSU rRNA
Rfam family: Eukaryotic large subunit ribosomal RNA
Source: RNAcentral